AGCAUAUCAAUAAGCGGAGGAAAAGA
This 26-nucleotide non-coding RNA is filed under the name Arabidopsis thaliana (thale cress). Lineage: Eukaryota; Viridiplantae; Streptophyta; Magnoliopsida; Brassicales; Brassicaceae. RNAcentral also lists the same sequence under 1 other name. The record is from RNAcentral.